This 910-nucleotide ribosomal RNA is filed under the name uncultured Bacteroidota bacterium. RNAcentral's name for it is "bacterial SSU rRNA". It matches the Rfam family "Bacterial small subunit ribosomal RNA", at positions 8 to 916 of the family's 1533-position model. Lineage: Bacteria; Pseudomonadati; Bacteroidota. The record is from RNAcentral.
AGAGUUUGAUCCUGGCUCAGGAUGAACGCUAGCGGCAGGCUUAAUACAUGCAAGUCGAGGGGCAGCGCGGGUAGCAAUACCUGGCGGCGACCGGCGCACGGGUGCGUAACACGUAUGUGACCUACCUUAAACUGAGGGAUAGCCCCUCGAAAGAGGGAUUAAUACCUCAUAACACUGCGGAGAGGCAUCUUUUUGCAGUUAAAGUUCCGACGGUUUAAGAUGGGCAUGCGCGACAUUAGCUAGUUGGUGAGGUAAUGGCUCACCAAGGCUGUGAUGUCUAGGGGUUCUGAGAGGAAAAUCCCCCACACUGGUACUGAGACACGGACCAGACUCCUACGGGAGGCAGCAGUAAGGAAUAUUGGUCAAUGGGCGCAAGCCUGAACCAGCCAUGCCGCGUGCAGGAUGACGGCCCUAUGGGUUGUAAACUGCUUUUGUACGGGAAAAAACCCUCCGACGUGUCGGAGGCUGAUGGUACCGUAAGAAUAAGGAUCGGCUAACUCCGUGCCAGCAGCCGCGGUAAUACGGAGGAUCCUAGCGUUAUCCGGAUUUAUUGGGUUUAAAGGGUGCGCAGGCGGAAUUAUAAGUCAGUGGUGAAAUCCUGCAGCUUAACUGCAGAACUGCCAUUGAUACUGUUAUUCUUGAGUAUAUUUGAAGUGGGCGGAAUGUGUCAUGUAGCGGUGAAAUGCUUAGAUAUGACACAGAACACCAAUUGCGAAGGCAGCUCACUAAGCUAUAACUGACGCUCAUGCACGAAAGCGUGGGGAUCAAACAGGAUUAGAUACCCUGGUAGUCCACGCCGUAAACGAUGAUUACUCGAUGUUGGCGAUAUACCGUCAGCGUCUAAGCGAAAGCAAUAAGUAAUCCACCUGGGGAGUACGAUCGCAAGGUUGAAACUCAAAGGAAUUGACGG